GACGAACGCUGGCGGCGUGCUUAACACAUGCAAGUCGAACGGUGAAGCUCCAGCUUGCUGGAGUGGAUCAGUGGCGAACGGGUGAGUAACACGUGAGCAACCUGCCCCUGACUCUGAAUAAGCGCUGGAAACGGCGUCUAAUACUGGAUACGAGAAGGGUCCGCAUGGGCACUUUCUGGAAAGUUUUUCGGUUGGGGAUGGGCUCGCGGCCUAUCAGCUUGUUGGUGAGGUAAUGGCUCACCAAGGCGACGACGGGUAGCCGGCCUGAGAGGGCGACCGGCCACACUGGGACUGAGACACGGCCCAGACUCCUACGGGAGGCAGCAGUGGGGAAUAUUGCACAAUGGGCGAAAGCCUGAUGCAGCGACGCCGCGUGAGGGAUGACGGCCUUCGGGUUGUAAACCUCUUUCAGCAGGGAAGAAGCGAAAGUGACGGUACCUGCAGAAGAAGCACCGGCUAACUACGUG
RNAcentral lists this ribosomal RNA (467 nucleotides) under uncultured bacterium. RNAcentral's name for it is "partial 16S ribosomal RNA". It matches the Rfam family "Bacterial small subunit ribosomal RNA", at positions 28 to 507 of the family's 1533-position model. The record is from RNAcentral.